Molecule: long non-coding RNA, 407 nt
Filed under: Nicotiana benthamiana
Lineage: Eukaryota; Viridiplantae; Streptophyta; Magnoliopsida; Solanales; Solanaceae
Description: long non-coding RNA (NBEN_LNC016232)
Source: RNAcentral
UUCCAACUACUAGUUUCCUUCGCCAAGUUUCUACAAGCUUAGUCUUUCUUAAGUUCUACUAAGCAUCCGGGUAGGCUGACUAGCUAACUUUGCCAUUGAAAGUUCGCUAGGCCGGACAGAUCGUCGUGUUUGAGUUACGGUCUCCUCACACUUAGGUUGGAGUUAAUUUGUGCAUAUCUUAAUUAAUUUAUGAAGAAAGUCUUGGACAAAUAAAAAGUACUCACCUAAUGUUUCCUUCUUGGGAUUUAAAACUUAGUGUUUCCCUCUUGGGAUUGAAACUUAGCUUAAAUAAUUUUAAAUUUACUUUAUUAAUCGCUAAAUCACAUUGAUCUUUUAGGUGCAUUUUUAGUUCACCAUUACCCUUGUUGUUAGGAAAAAUAUCGCUUUUGCCAUUGACCCCCCUCCCC